This 388-nucleotide ribosomal RNA is filed under the name Paenibacillus sp. OV219. RNAcentral's name for it is "bacterial LSU rRNA". It matches the Rfam family "Bacterial large subunit ribosomal RNA", at positions 1 to 377 of the family's 2925-position model. The record is from RNAcentral. Lineage: Bacteria; Bacillati; Bacillota; Bacilli; Caryophanales; Paenibacillaceae.
ACUAGGUUAAGCUACUAAGAGCGCACGGAGGAUGCCUAGGCGCUAGGAGCCGAAGAAGGACGUGGCGAACGACGAAAUGCCUCGGGGAGCCGUAAGCAGGCUUUGAUCCGGGGAUGUCCGAAUGGGGAAACCCGGCUGGAGUAAUGUCCAGUCACUCAUAACUGAAUACAUAGGUUAUGUAGAGGCAGACCAGGGGAACUGAAACAUCUAAGUACCCUGAGGAAGAGAAAACAAUAGUGAUUCCGUCAGUAGCGGCGAGCGAACGCGGAUUAGCCCAAACCAAGGAGCUUGCUCCUUGGGGUUGUAGGGCGUCUCACAUGGAGUUACAAAGGUGUUGGUUAGGCGAAGAGGUCUGGAAAGGCCCGCUAGAAGAGGUAAAAGCCCUGUA